CUACGUGAAGACACAUAGAGGAGACGUCCAUCUAUAAGCCACGGAGAAAGGCAUCAGAAGAAACCAGUCUUGCCAACACCUUGAUCUCAGACGUCUAGCCGGCAGAAUGAUGGAGUUUUGCUCUUGUUGCCCAGGCUGAAGUUCAGUGGCGUGAUCUCAGCUCACUGCAACCUCCACCUCCCGGAUUCAAGUGAUUCUCCUGCCUCAGCCUCCUGAGUAGCUGAGAUUAAAGGCACCUUCCCCCAUGCCAAGCUAAUUUUUUGUAUUUUUAGUAAAGUCGGUGUUUCACUAUGUUGGUCAGGUUGGUCUUGAACUCCUGACCUCAAGUGAUUGACCUUCCUUGGCUUCCCAAAGUGCUGGGAUUACAGGCCUGAGCCACCAUGCCUGGCCUACAUUAAAGCUAUUAACACCUUAUUUACCAUAUGUGUUACAAUGAUUUUCCAAGGUUAAACAUCUAGUUAAAUCUAAAAAUCAGAUAUAUUUGAAGAUUACAGGACUGUUAUGUAGAACACCCCUCAUCCGAGUCUGUCUAAUAUUUCCUUGUGAUUAUGUUGGGACUAUUCAUUUUUCUCAUGAUUAUUAUAGACAUGAUGCUUUAGUCUGUUCAUUGCAUCCCAUCAGGGACACAUGAUUUCCAUGUAUUUUAUUACUGGUGAUGUUGUCUUUGAUCACUUGGGUAAAGGUAUAUCUGCCAGCCUU
This is a non-coding RNA of Callithrix jacchus (white-tufted-ear marmoset), 699 nucleotides long. The record is from RefSeq and is a predicted model, not a curated record. NCBI's taxonomy places the organism in Eukaryota, Metazoa, Chordata, Mammalia, Primates, Cebidae.